RNAcentral lists this ribosomal RNA (253 nucleotides) under uncultured bacterium. RNAcentral describes it as "partial 16S ribosomal RNA". It matches the Rfam family "Bacterial small subunit ribosomal RNA", at positions 524 to 776 of the family's 1533-position model. The record is from RNAcentral.
UACGUAGGGUCCGAGCGUUGUCCGGACUUAUUGGGCGUAAAGGGCUCGUAGGCGGUCUGUUGCGUCGGGAGUGAAAAUUCGCAGCUUAACUGUGAACUUGCUUCCGAUACGGGCAGACUUGAGGUAUUCAGGGGAGAACGGAAUUCCUGGUGUAGCGGUGAAAUGCGCAGAUAUCAGGAGGAACACCGGUGGCGAAGGCGGUUCUCUGGGAAUAUCCUGACGCUGAGGAGCGAAAGUGUGGGGAGCGAACAGG